This is a long non-coding RNA of Epinephelus moara (kelp grouper), 304 nucleotides long. RefSeq lists it as uncharacterized. The record is from RefSeq and is a predicted model, not a curated record. Lineage: Eukaryota; Metazoa; Chordata; Actinopteri; Perciformes; Serranidae. The transcript is spliced from 2 exons.
GAAGAAGAAGGAGAACAAGGAGGAGGAGGAGGAGAAGAAGAAGAAAAAGAAGACGAAGGAGGAGGACAAGAAGAACAAGAACAAGAAGAAGAAGAAAGGGGAGGAGGAGGAGAACAAGAAGAAGCCAUAAUGUGUCCAGGUGUGUCCAGGUGUGUCUAGGUGUGUCCAGGUGUGUCGUGGUGUGUCGUGGUGUGUCGUGGUGUGUCCAGGUGUGUCGUGGUGUGUCCUGGUGUGUCGUGGUGUGUCGUGGUGUGUCGUGGUGUGUCCAGGUGUGUCGUGGUGUGUCCAGGUGUGUCGUGGUGUG